Molecule: ribosomal RNA, 449 nt
Filed under: uncultured bacterium
Lineage: Bacteria
Description: partial 16S ribosomal RNA
Rfam family: Bacterial small subunit ribosomal RNA
Source: RNAcentral
AGCGAACGCUGGCGGCAGGCCUAACACAUGCAAGUCGAACGAAGCCUUCGGGCUUAGUGGCGGACGGGUGAGUAACACGUGGGAACGUACCUUUUGGUUCGGAACAACUCAGGGAAACUUGAGCUAAUACCGGAUGAGCCCUUAGGGGGAAAGAUUUAUCGCCGAAAGAGCGGCCCGCGUUAGAUUAGCUAGUUGGUGAGGUGAAGGCUCACCAAGGCAACGAUCUAUAGCUGGUCUGAGAGGAUGAUCAGCCACACUGGGACUGAGACACGGCCCAGACUCCUACGGGAGGCAGCAGUGGGGAAUCUUGCGCAAUGGGCGAAAGCCUGACGCAGCCAUGCCGCGUGAAUGAUGAAGGUCUUAGGAUUGUAAAAUUCUUUUACCAGGAACGAUAAUGACGGUACCUGGAGAAAAAGCCCCGGCUAACUUCGUGCCAGCAGCCGCCGUAA